UACGAAGGGGGCUAGCGUUGUUCGGAAUUACUGGGCGUAAAGCGUGCGCAGGCGGCUUCUCAAGUCAGGGGUGAAAGCCCAGAGCUUAACUCUGGAAUUGCCUUUGAGACUGAGAGGCUUGAGUACGGGAGAGGUGAGUGGAAUUCCGAGUGUAGAGGUGAAAUUCGUAGAUAUUCGGAAGAACACCAGUGGCGAAGGCGACUCACUGGACACGUAUUGACGCUGAAGUGCGAAAGCGUGGGGAGCAAACAGG
Molecule: ribosomal RNA, 253 nt
Filed under: uncultured bacterium
Lineage: Bacteria
Description: partial 16S ribosomal RNA
Rfam family: Bacterial small subunit ribosomal RNA
Source: RNAcentral